Molecule: ribosomal RNA, 460 nt
Filed under: uncultured bacterium
Lineage: Bacteria
Description: partial 16S ribosomal RNA
Rfam family: Bacterial small subunit ribosomal RNA
Source: RNAcentral
CCUACGGGAGGCAGCAGUGAGGAAUAUUGGUCAAUGGACGAGAGUCUGAACCAGCCAAGUAGCGUGAAGGAUGACGGCCCUAUGGGUUGUAAACUUCUUUUAUAUGAGGAUAAAAUGUUCCACGUGUGUGAUUUUGUAUGUACCAUAUGAAUAAGGAUCGGCUAACUCCGUGCCAGCAGCCGCGGUAAUACGGAGGAUCCGAGCGUUAUCCGGAUUUAUUGGGUUUAAAGGGAGCGUAGGUGGAUUGUUAAGUUAGUUGUGAAAUGUUGCGGCUCAACCGUAAAAUUGCAGUUGAUACUGGCAGUCUUGAGUACAGUAGAGGUGGGCGGAAUUCGUGGUGUAGCGGUGAAAUGCUUAGAGAUCACGAAGAACUCCGAUUGCGAAGGCAGUUCACUGGACUGCAACUGACACUGAGGCUCGAAAGUGUGGGUAUCAAACAGGAUUAGAUACCCGUGUAGUC